GAAGGGAGCUUUCAUGUGGCCGACCAACUCUACUCCUUGACUCCUCCCUUCUCUCAUUGAAAAAAAAUGUUUAAGGGGACAUUUCUCUCUCCUAAACUUUUUAUGUUCCAUUGAAGACCUGGAAAACAUGUUAAAUAAAAAUGCUUUGCCACAGCUGACCUAUGUCUUCUGGCUUGUACCCCACAACAUCUUAUCUAAUGGAAGGACAGAAUAACGGGCUCCCAGAUUCACAAGCCCCACCAAGAGGAUCACCCCAGGAACGCUUGGAGGCUGAGGAGUUCACUGAGGCUACUGCAUCUUGAGACUCAGGAUGAAGACCCAGCUUGGGGCUGUCAAAGGUUUUUUGCAUGUCUGACACCCAUGACUCCACCUGGACCUUAUGGCUCCACCCAGAAGCAAUUCAGCCCAACAGGAGGACAGCUUCAACCCAUUACGAUUUCAUCUCUGCCCCAACCACUCAGCAGCAAGCACCUGUUACCUGUCCACCCCCACCCCUUCCCCCAAACUGCCUUUGAAAAAUCCCUAACCUAUGAGCUUUGAAUAAGAUGAGUACGAACUUCAUCGCCCACGUGGCGUGGCCGGCCUCGUGUCUAUUAAAUUCUUUUUCUACUACAA
This 615-nucleotide long non-coding RNA is filed under the name Homo sapiens (human). RNAcentral describes it as "HSALNT0350038". The stretch from base 202 to 338 matches the Rfam family "Pvt1 oncogene conserved region 7". Lineage: Eukaryota; Metazoa; Chordata; Mammalia; Primates; Hominidae. The record is from RNAcentral.